Molecule: long non-coding RNA, 674 nt
Organism: Ictalurus punctatus (channel catfish)
Lineage: Eukaryota; Metazoa; Chordata; Actinopteri; Siluriformes; Ictaluridae
Source: Ensembl
UGGACGGUGUGUAAGGGUGCGUGGACGGUGUGUAAAGGUGCGUGGACGGUGUGUAAAGGUGCGUGGACGGUGCGUGGACGGUGUGUAAAGGUGCGUGGGACGGUGUGUAAAGGUGCGUGGACGGUGUGUAAAGGUGCGUGGACGGUGUGGUGGACGGUGUGUAAAGGUGCGUGGACGGUGUGUAAAGGUGCGUGGACGGUGUGUAAAGGUGCGUGGACGGUGUGUGGACGGUGUGUAAAGGUGCGUGGACGGUGUGUGGACGGUGUGUAAAGGUGCGUGGACGGUGUGUAAAGUGUGCAGGUGUGUAAAUGUGUAUAAAGGUGUGUAGAAGGUGUGUACAUGAGAGGAUGUAUGGGUCACGGGUCUCUUGGCUAACAGUGAGACGGUGGUGUAUAAAUAGCAGCAUGGGAGCGAGAGGUGAGCUAACAGCAUUUUGAGUCUGCAGGAAGAAGAGAGUGAUGCAAUUAGAGGAAAUGAUGAGGCAAAAGACGAGAGAAAACGGAAAGAGCAAUGCUGCUACAGCUCCCGAUCAGAUGGGAUGAAGAGGAAUAAAAUACGAGACGGCAGAUCAUUAGCGGAUCAUCAUCCAGCAGUUAAUGACGCAAUCAGGUUUAAUAACAAUCACAUAGCCAAAUAAGGAGGAAGCCUGCCGUGAACAUCUACACAACAGAAGA